ACAAGCAGCGGAGCGUGUGGUUAAUUCGAGGCUACACGAAGAACUUACCAGGUUUGACAUGCAAGUGGUAGGAAUCCGAAGGUGACGACCCUUCGGGAGCUUGCACAGGUGCUGCAUGGCUGUCGUCAACUCGUGUCGUGAGAUGUUCGGUUAAGUCCGCUAACGAGCGCAACCCUCGUCGUGUGUUAUACGUGUCACACGAUACUGCCGGUAUCAAGCCGGAGGAAGGUGGGGAUGAUGUCAAGUCAGCAUGGCCUUUAUAUCCUGGGCUACACACACGCUACAAUGGCAGAUACAAUAGGUUGCGAAACCGCGAGGUGGAGCCAAUCCUCAAAGUCUGUCUCAGUUCAGAUUGUAGGCUGCAACUCGCCUGCAUGAAGUUGGAGUUGCUAGUAAACGCAGGUCAGCUAUACUGCGUUGAAUACGUUCCCGGGGUUU
Molecule: ribosomal RNA, 438 nt
Filed under: uncultured Leptolinea sp.
Lineage: Bacteria; Bacillati; Chloroflexota; Anaerolineae; Anaerolineales; Anaerolineaceae
Description: bacterial SSU rRNA
Rfam family: Bacterial small subunit ribosomal RNA
Source: RNAcentral